GAGCGCGGCGGCAGCGGGCGGCGGGAGCAUGAUGAAACGCAACGAAACGGCCGGAGGCUCCGAGGGAGGGAGAGGAGGGAAGGCCAAUAGCGGGAACGGUUCGGGGAAAGAGAAAAGCCGCGCACGCUGCAACUUUUUUCUUGGUUUUGCGUGUUCGCACAAGGAUUUCAGCCGGUGUUUGCACAGUGCAGCCCUAAGUGGGGCUCGCUCUUCUGGGAUCCGGAUCACAUGGGAUUUUUGUAUGGUCCGCUUUUUUCUCCAGUUUCCAGCCCAUCCCUUCUGCUACGGCAGUCCCAGGGGCACACAGCGGCAAUUUGCUGUGCACUGCGUGUCUGUCUGUGUGUGCAUCGCUCAGCACCGUCCCGAGCUGUAAAACCCCCACUCGGAAGCCUCUACACGGCGAGGGAAAUUAAUGUCUUAUUAAGACAAAGUGUGUGUGAAGCAUAAUCGUCAAGUAGUAAAACAUUCCUUUGGUGACGUGUUUUCCUUCCACCUUGGCUCUCUGUGACACACUUCUGCACAAAGGAAGGUUCAUCAGCACAGACGUGCAGAGGUUGGCCACCAUCACCGGUUCCUGCUUUCUGAUGCCACAUCACUUAGGAACAUGUUAAAGAAAACAACAGCACUCAGCAUAGUUGUCAUUUGUAUAAUUUUUGUCUACAUACUGCAGCACUGAGAAUGUGAUUGCCUACAGUGCACAACUAUGAUCAACUCCCUUUAAAAACAAUCAAGGAAAAGGAACCAUGUGUCCAACAACGAAAGUCUGCAUGAGGUGAAGAGGAGUUACCUGUUGGGAUAUCCUGAGCCAUGAGCGCCUCUGUGCACUCACGUGAGGGACUGUGUUUCUGUUGUGCCACUGAAGGAGUACCCGGGCUCACACGCCAGAGGUGUCUGCAGUUCAGGCUCUCUUUAACACCACUUCUCUCUCCUCUUUCCAUUCUGGUAGCAAAGGGUGCUGAGUAUCAAUAAAAAGUCCUACAACACACAUUUUA
Long non-coding RNA from Gallus gallus (chicken), 992 nucleotides. RefSeq lists it as uncharacterized. Lineage: Eukaryota; Metazoa; Chordata; Aves; Galliformes; Phasianidae. The transcript has 2 exons. The record is from RefSeq and is a predicted model, not a curated record.